CCUCACACAUCUUUACCUGCACAUGAGGAAAAUCACUCCUGUAGAAUGCAGUGGUUCAUCAGAACCUCUGGGGAUGUCCUGUGGAUUCUGUGGAUCCUGUGGGUUGCAGGGUGGGUCCUACCUAGACCAGGCUGAUCCUGGACCAUCCCACAGAUGCUCCAUCAGAUCUGGAUGUGGGGAGUGUGGAACCCAGAUGUUCAGAGGGAGAUGAUGCCACAUCUGGUCCAGCUGAUGGAAGGUCUUGAAGUUCUCUGACUGGCCUGGACUGAAGAUGGUCGUCUCACUGGAUUUAAGGUUCAGAUGCUCAGUAACAAACUCCACCAAUGAGCCAACAGGGAAGCUUUAGGUUUAUUAAAUGUUGCUAUGAAGGUAUCACUGUUUUUCUUUGUGAAUGCAAUGUGCUCCAACUGAAACUUGAAUUAGAACUUAGAAGUAAAUCCUUCCAUCUGAAAGGAUUUAGUUGCAUUAAUAACCUCAUAACAUUCUAAUUUUUCUUCCAGUCUUGGUUGGAAAUAGAAUCUCUGUAUUGAUUCAGGUAAAAACUGAACUUCACAGCAUGUUGAAGCAAAACAACCAGAUGAAAACUGUGAUGGUGUUGGAUUGUCAGACUGUAAUGUUGCAGCUCAAAGCAGCUUUUCUAGCUCAGUUCAUUGUGACAUUCAGCUAUGAAUCAACACAGCAGAUGGUGAUCCAUGCUGUGGAAGUCUCACAUCUCCUGAUUUAAUGGAGCUGCUUUGCACUUUUUACACUGUUUAUUCACCAACACUUUAUUUAAUAAAAGUCUCAUCUAGUUUUUAUGAGGAAUGUGAUGUUUUAAUUUCUCUGUGAAUAACUGCAGUCUAAUGCAACAGCUGGAGUUGUAACAUCUGUCCUGAUAUUGAUCAUGAAGUAUUGAUCAGAAUACUUAUGGUCAGCAGUCAUCCCUGAAGUUUUACAUUAAAAUCUUUACUUGUGUUGUGAACUUUGGUAAGAAGCAGAAACAUUAGCGUUGCCAUGGAUACAUGAGUGUUAAAUUCUGUCCAUGUUUCCAUUUUGGGAAAUUCAGUCCAGUUCCAGAAUGUGGAGGAAUUUAGUUUCAAUCACAGACAACAAAUAUUAUCUGAAAGUCGGGUUAUUGUUGUUUAUCAGCACAAUACAAAAAGAUUAAUGUUAGAAAUAUUCCAGUUAAGACUCUAGAAUAUCAUGAUUUAUGUAAAUUUACCUCAAUAAUAUGAAUGUUCAGGUUAAGAUUGUACAGUGAUAUUUAUUAUGUAAGUUUAUCUUAUUAAAGUUUAUGACUGCACUAAAAUAUUAUUUAAAUUGACAUCAUUAUUAUAAUAUUUAGGGUCAGACCCUACAGUAUUGAGAUAAAGAAAUCAAAUAUUCUAUAAAAUGUAAAUACACUGAACUCAUCUGGAUAUAUUUUAGUGAGACGCUACAAUAUUAUUUGACACAAAUCUAUCUAAAUCAAAAUUUUAAUCAUUUUCACGCCAAACAUUUACUGAACUGAUUUAAAUAUUAAAAUCGCUCCUUUCUAAUCCUCUGCUGUACGUUCAAACCUGAGGCCUUAAAUAGAAACACACAAGUAUCUGAUUGAAGGAACUUCUGCAGAGUCCUGGUUCCAGAACAUGAUGAUAGAAUUAUAGACAAACUUUAUCAAAAGCUGCCUGAGAGUUUACAGGUUUUUAUGUUAAAUUUCUUCAGUAAUUUAAUGAGAGUUAUCAGCAAAAAUCAAGUGUUCAUUUGAUGAACUUCAUUUCCUAAAACAUCCAGAAUUGGAGCUCAUAUCUUUGGCAGCUGUAAAGUUUCUGCUCCUUCAAAGUUCACAACACAAUGAAUGAAUUCCUAAAAAACUCUCAAUGCUGAAGCAGUGACCAGUUUUUCAGUUUCUUCUCUGGAGAUGCACAAUGAGGGACGUCUGCAGAGACUGAGAAAGAGUCUCACCACAUCCUGACAUGAGGAAAAAGACUUUAUUGAAGACUACAAUGAGAAAAACUAUCAGACAGCAGACGGCAUGCAUUCAAGGUGAGCUCUGAACAUUUGAUCUGGAACAGGAAUUCAAUAACGGCAGCAUGAGCUUCAUUUCAGUCUGUAGCUGCUGAAUUCAUGGAUAAAUCAUCUGGCACUAGAGAGGAAGACCAUCAAACAUCCAUGUCAGCUGAUGGAGGUCCAAGAGUCUCACCGAACAACCAACCUACAGAGUGAAGACCUCGAAUCUGAUUGGACGGCCUCCUAUUCAGCCACAUGUGUGAACAAAUACCUCUAAGUUGAUUUGUUUUCUAAAAUAAAUCUAGUUUGAGUCCUAAUCUAUGCCUGUGUGUUUGCUUCUUUACACUGCUGUUAACAGUUUAGGCUGUUAGAUUGUUCCAGAUAAGACAAGUAAAAGAUUCUUCAGAGCCGUUCUACCACGAGCCUGACAGGAAGAACUCCAACAGCUACUGAAUGUUCCUGUGGUUCCCUCAAGGCUACAGGAGGAGCCCUACGAGGACGAGCCGGUCCACCUGAUGGUGGCCAGUCGCUGCGGUUCAAAGCCAACACCGACUACGUGGACUUCUACUGGACCACACGGAGGCCU
Molecule: long non-coding RNA, 2554 nt
Organism: Amphiprion ocellaris (clown anemonefish)
Lineage: Eukaryota; Metazoa; Chordata; Actinopteri; Pomacentridae
Exons: 3
Source: RefSeq, a predicted model, not a curated record